Molecule: long non-coding RNA, 443 nt
Organism: Homo sapiens (human)
Lineage: Eukaryota; Metazoa; Chordata; Mammalia; Primates; Hominidae
Gene: PXN-AS1
Product: PXN antisense RNA 1
Source: Ensembl
UUGAGGAAGCAGUUCUGACAGUAAGGCUUGUCGUUCUGCUCCUUGAAGGUGCCCUUGUUGAGCUGCUUGAGGCAGAAGGCACAGACGAAGUGCUCGGGGUGGAACUUCUUGGCCAUGGCGGUGAUGCAGCGGCCGGUGAUGGGCUUCUGGCAGCCAGAACACAGCGAGCCGCGCCGCUCGUGGUAGUGCACCUCACAGUAGGGCUGCCCGUCGUGCUCGAAGAAGCUGCCGUUCACGAAUGGCGUGAAGCAUUCCUGCCAGGCGGAGAGAGGGGCUCAGGGAGCUGCCCCUCGGGCUAGAGCUGCACCCUGUGUGAUGGGGCCGAGGUGGGCAUAGUCGGCACGCUCGGAGUGACUCCUACUUGCUAGGCGUUUCCCAUGUGCCGUGUUGUCCUAAACGCUCAUUUUUCAUUUUUAUUUUAUUAAAUAAAUUUUUUUUGUAGA